UUUAGAAUGGAGAGAUAUUUGCGUUUUUGAAAGACUGCGCAAGCAGGCAGGUGAGAUGGGUCCCCUAGGUCGGUGGAACUUUAUAUAUAUCAUCUUCUUCGACUUUUCCUCAUUUUCCUCCAUUUUUCUUAGUGAAUAACCAGAAAAUUCACAAAACCCACUUCUAUAAUCAGCCAAGUUACAGAUUGUCGUGACUUAAGUCCUUGACAAAAGUUAUUAUACGCGUUGAGCACAUCAACAUGGUAUAAUUUGUUUUAUCUAUAACCUAGCAUAUCAUACUUUGGUGUGUGGACAGCAGGUGUUUGGGAAUAUUUUAAUGUUUUGAGGUGUAUUAAGAACAUAAAAUCAAGGUAAGACCCUUCUUUCAUUGACUCUAGCUUUGAUAAGUCACAAAUAACAAUUUGCGACAGAAAUAUAUAUAUCUUUUAUUGGAUUAUCGUGGUAUCUUCUAUUCUUUUGUGUUGAUUAUGGUCCUACCUUGUUGUAGUAUCGAGUGGAGUUGUGAGUAAAGUUGUAACGCCAUGUGAAUUCAGCGAAAAAAGUAUGUUAAAGCUAUUCCCUACUUACGACAUGUUUCCUUAAAACUUAGGAGCAAUGUAAUUGGGUUGUUAUUCUUGUUAUACUUAUAGCCAUUAUUGUUGAUUGUUGGCUGCUCGAGUUGAUAUAAUCCUCCCUUGUCGGGAUUCCUAUUUAGUUAGUAGCGUCCCUAUGUUGGACACGACUUAGAGGAUAUUUGUAUAGGUUUCUUAUAACUAGAUUGCUCGCUUUUAGCAAUUGGAUUGUUAUUGUUGCCCUUGGGGCUAUUGUGGUUAGCUACAGGAAUGUGAUCUAUGCCUAGAAGGACUAAGUUCUGCCUACAGGGCCAUAUGGAUGCCUAAGAGGGCUAUGAGUUGCCUAUGGGGAUAUAUUGAUGCCUACAAUGUCUAUGAGUUGCCUACAUGGCUAUAUUGACGCCUAAGAAGGCUAUGUGCUUCUUACAGGGCCAUGUUGUUGCCUAAGAGGGCUAUGAGUUGUCUAUAAGCUAUGUUGAUGCCUAAGAGAGCUAUGUGCUACCUACGAGGCUUUAUUAAUGCCUAAGAGGGAUAUGUAACUGCCUACGAGACUAGGGGACUACCGAUUGGGGUAUAUAGACUGAUUGGCACCUUUCAGAAUUAUAGGGGCCUGAAUAGGUGGCCUUGUGUGCUGUUUGUACCCGCCGAGCUUAUGUGGGCUUGGUCAGGUUGUUGUUUUAUUAUUUUUGAUAUGUUAAGAUUGAGAAGCAUGUCAAUACACUUAUCUUAUCCUUGAUCUAUUUAUCGGAUUAUCCAGUCUAUUAUUGAUCUAUAUUAGGAUACCUGCUCAUAGUCUAUUGCCUUUCAUACUCUGUAUAUUAUUUCGUACUGACGUCCCAUUUCCUGGGGGCGCUGCAUUCGUGCAUGCAAGUCUCGACAGACGACCCAGUAGACCUCCUCUGUAGCAGGAUUGACUAUUAUCUGGUUGGCUAGCCCUUUUUUUUCCAGAGCUGCCAAAGUUUGGAGGUUUGUUAGUUUUUGUUGUAUAUAUUUUUAUGGGUAUGUUGGGGCCCUGUCCCGCCAAACUUUACUACUCUUAAAGGCUUGCAGACUAGUGAGUGGGGUGUGGAGCUACGUUAUGGCCAUGCUGGCCUAGUUUGUUUGCUUGUUGAAGCUUGUGAGUUGUUUGAUGUAUUGUCUUGAUUUAUACAUGCUUUCAGUUUUGGUAUGGAGAUCAUGGUGGGCUCCACGGCCCAAUCACUACUUCUGUGCUAGUAGCUGUUUCAUUUAUAGAUAUGUUGACAGGGGCCUUGUUGGCCGAGGGCUUAGUUUUAAGCCAAGAUAUACUUGUUUAUUUUUUUGAUUGCGUGUGGCUGUCAUGCUUUACUAGUAAAUGGUUCAGUAGGGUCGGCUCAGGCCUUAGUUUUGGCAUUAGGAGCCAGUUGCUCCCCUUGAGUUUGAGGCGUGACAAACUUGGUAUCAAAGCAAUGUCGUAUCCUAGGGAGUCUGCAAGCCGUGUCUAGUAGAGUCUUGUUUAUAAAUAUGUUAUGCACCACAUUCGAUAAGCAAGAAGCUAUCGGGCAUGUUAGAAUGGCUAUCCUUCUUUUGCUCACCUCGUGCUGUAGAGCAGUAUCUUAAGUGUUGAGGUUUCUGGCUUAUAAUUGAUAUUUGUAUGUAAAUAGAGAUGGCUGACACCAGAUAGACCACAACUAGCCAAGGACUAGAUACAGCUCUAGGCGAGGUACCGACAAGGUACCACAGGUGGAGGUAGCCCAUUGUGAGACCCAGGGGGGACAUCUUCUCAGCCCCCUAUAGGUUCUCUACCGCUUCAGGAGCCUCCGAGGGCUACAUGACCCCCAGCUCCACCAACAGUACCACCUCUAGUUCCUCCUAUUCCAUCUGACCAGGAUAUCAACAGUGUAGUAUGUAUGUUAGCACAUUCAGUAGCUGCACAAGGCCAGUCAGUUGCGUCAGAUGUAGCCGGACCUUCUGAAGGGCACGAAAUUUCAAGAGUUCGUGAAUUUCUUGCCUUGAAUCAUCCACAGUUUACAGAGACAGAUGGCAGAGAGGACCCUCAGCAAUUUGUUGAUCAGCUUCAUAGGAUCUUUAGAGUCAUGCACGACUCAACGACUAAGUCAGUUGUGUUAGCAGCAUUUCGAUUGCGCGAUGGUGCAGUAUUGUGGUAUGAAAGUUGGGAGAGAUCUAGGGGAAAAGAUGUAGCUCUACCCACUUGGGAUAGCUUUACAGAAGCUUUCAUAGAUCAUUAUUUGCCUCGAGAGAUUAGGGAUGGCCGGGUAGACCAAUUUUUGAACCUCCGACAGAUAGCAUGAGUGUCCGAGAGUACGGGCUGAUAUUUGAUUCAUUACCUAGAUAUGCACCAACAGUUGUUGAUACGAUGAAUGACAGGGUGCACAGAUUUAUGGGAGGGCUUGACUCAGACUAUAUGGACGAUUAUUGUACCACUACACUAAAUCAUAAUAUGGAUAUCUCACUAAUUUAGGCCUUUGCACAAGGAAUAGAGGAUUGUCGACAUCUACAGUAUAUGAGUGAGAAGGUCAAGAGAGAGAGAUAGAAGAGGGCUAGGCCUGUUGUGUCACAGGGAGAUUUUCAAGUUGGUCCCAGACCCUGAUAUUCUAUUAGGCCACCUAGAUCACCACCACAGCAGUUCCAGGGUAGUAGAUUUGAUCAUCAGGGACAGUCAGGCCCAGGUGAGGGUUCACGAGCAUCAGGCUCUCAGCAUCAGAGGGGUUUAGUCCAGUGUAGGACAACCCCUCCGCGUUGCGCUACUUGCGAUAGGAUGCAUUUUGGGAGGUGCAUGCAGGGUUCCACAUGUUGUUAUUAUUGUGGACAGGAGGGGCAGGGGUGGAGAAACUGCCCAACCAUAAGUCAGGGUGGUAUAGGUCAGUAGGUUCCUUCUCAUCAACAUAGUCUACAGGGCGUGGACCCCAGACUCCAGCAGGUAGAGGUAGAUGUGGAGGCAGAGAGGGAACAUCUAGUUUUGGUAGUGGCUAGAAUCGUAUAUAUUCACUAGUCGGCCGACAAGACUCAGAGUCAUCACUAGAUGUUGUGACAUGUACAUUGAUUGUUUACUGCCAUUGUGUUUAUGCUUUGAUAGAUCCUGGAUCUAUUAUGUCUUAUGUUACUCCAUUUAUCGCGGGGAAGUUAUGUAUAGUAGCAGAGUCAUUAGAUUAACCCUUUACUAUAUCUACACUAGUUGGUGAGUCUAUUAUUUCCAGGAGAGUCUAUUGAGGUUGCACGGUAAAAAUUAUCGAUCGUCAGACCUCUGUAGACAUCGUAGAGUUAGAAAUGGUCGAUUUCGACGUUAUUAUGGGUAUGGACUGGUUAGCGUCUUGUUAUGCUAAUGUUGAGUGCAAGACAAAGAUUGUUAGAUUCCACUAUCCAGGAGGGGCAGUUUGGGAAUUGAAUGGCGAUACAACAACACCGAAUGGUAGGUUUAUUUCCUAUCUUAAGGUGAAAAUGAUGAUUACUAAGGGUUGUAUUUAUCAUCUUGUUUGCGUUCAUGAUAUAGAUGCAGAACCACACACUCUUCAGUCUAUUUCGGUAGUUAAUGAGUUUCUAUAUAUAUUUCCAGACGAGCUCCCUAGUAUCCCUCUAGAACGGGAAAUUGAUUUUGCUAUAGAUAUGCUACCAGGUACACAACCCAUAUCUAUCCCUCCUUAUAGAAUGGCUCUUGCUGAGCUAAAAGAGUCGAAGGAUCAGCUGAAAGACUUGUUGGAUAAAGGCUUUAUCAGGCCUAGUGUUUCACCAUGGGGUGCGCCAGUGUUAUUCAUGAGGAAGAAAUAUGGCUCACUAAGAAUGUGUAUUGAUUACCGACAACCGAAUAAGGCGACUAUAAAGAAUAAGUAUCCCCUUUCGAGGAUCGAUGACUUGUUUGAUCAGUUACAAGGUGUUGAGUGCUUCUCAAAGAUUGAUUUAAAAUCAGGGUACCACCAGAUAGGAGUUCGGGAGAAAGAUGUUCCAAAGACAUCUUUUAGAACCAAAUAUGGACACUUUGAGUUCUUGGUAAUGUCAUUUGGAUUAAGUAAUGCCCCAUCAGUGUUCAUAGACCUGAUGAAUAGCAUAUUCAGGCUGUAUCUAGAUGCAUUUCUGAUUGUAUUUAUUGAUGAUAUUUUGGUCUAUUCGCAUUCAAAAGUUGAGCAUGCAAAUCACUUGCGAGAAGUCCUUCAGGUUCUUUGAGAGCAGGAACUUUACACAAAGUUCUCUAAGUGUGAGUUCUAGUUGAGCUCUGUGGCUUUCCUAUGCCAUAUCAUAUCAGAUUCCGGCAUUAUGGUUGAUACACAAAAGAUUGAGGCCGUAAAGACUUGGCCCAGACCCAUGACUGCGACUGAGGUUCGUAGUUUCGUAGGAUUAGCUGGGUACUACAGAAGGUUUGUAGGGGGUUUUCUUCACCUUCAGCACCAUUAACGAAGUUGACUAAAAAAUGGCUAAGUUUCAGUGGACUAAGGUUUGCAAGCAUAGUUUCUAGGAACUGAAGGACAGGUUGACAUAAGCACAAGUUCAAGCAUUGCCAGAGGGUUUAGAGGGCUAUGCGGUGUAUUGUGAUGCCUCUGGUGUUGGGUUGGGGUGUAUUCUAAUGCAAAUGGUAAGGUUAUCGCAUAUGUUUCAAGGCAGUUGAGGAAGCAUGAGAAGAACUAUUCGACCCACGAUUUAGAGUUGGCUGUAGUUGUGCCUGCGUUAAAGAUCUGGAGACACUAUUUGUAUGGCGUUCAUGUUGACAUUUUCACAAAUAAUAAAAGUCUUCAAUAUAUCUUUAGAUAGAAUGAGAUAAAUCUGCGACAACGUCAAUGGCUUGAAUUACUAAAAGGCUACGACGUGGAUAUUUUAUAUCAUCCAGGAAAGGCAAAUGUGGUAGCGAAUGCCCUCAGUCGAAGAUCUAUGGGUAGUUUAUCUUAUUUAGGUGUUGAGAAGUGGGAGCUAGUGUGAGAUCUUCAUUAGUUAGCUAUCUUGGGAGUCAGAUUGUUAAAGGCAGGCGAUAGUUGGGUCACAAUUCAGGACACAACCGUAUCAUCUCUAGUUGUGGAGGGAAAAUCAUGGCAACUAGAGGAUCCUAGCUUAGAGCCUCUCUGAGCCAAGUCCCAUCAUCAUCAGUCUUUAGCAUUUGAUAUAGCAGGAGAUGGAGUCCUCAGAUAUAGUGGUCGAUUGUAUGUUUCGAAUGUUGCAGGGCUUCAACAUCGCAUUAUGGAAGAGGCACAUCAUUCCCGUUAUUCUAUUCACCCUGUUUCAACGAAGAUGUACUAUGAUAUUAAGGAGAUCUAUUAGUGGCAUGGGAUGAAGAAGGACGUUGCUGAGUUUGUGACAUAGUGUCCUAACUGCCAACAGGUGAAGGUUGAGCACCAAAAUCCCGCUGGGCUAGUUCAGGAGAUAGCCAUACCUUUGUAGAAGUAGGAAGCAAUUAAUAUGGAUUUUAUUACAGGGUUACCUCGAACGCGUCGCAAAUUUGACUCUAUUUGAGUAAUUGUUGAUAGACUAACAAAAUCAACCCACUUCUUACCGGUCAGUGCUACUUUUAGGACCGAAGACUAUGCAGGGCUCUAUAUUACAGAGAUUGUUAGGCUACACGGUGACCCAAUAUCUAUUAUCUCCGAUAGAGGAGCAUAAUUUACCUCCAACUUCUGGAAGUCCUUCCAAAGAGGACUGGGAACACAAAUUAAUCUUAGUACAACUUUUCACCCUCAGACAGAUGGCCAGGCUGAGCACACAAUUUUGACACUCGAGGAUAUGUUACGAGCGUGUGUGCUGGACUUCAAAGGAAGUUGGGAUGACCACUUGCCUCUUAUUGAGUUUGCAUACAAUAAUAGUUAUCAUUCCAGCAACGAGAUGAUACCUUAUGAGGCUUUGUAUGGGAGAAAAUGUAGAUCCCCCAUUGGAUUGUUCGAGGUAGGUGAGUCAGGGUUGAUUGGACCCGACUUAGUACAACAGACAGUGUAGUAGGUUAAGCUCAUUCGAGAGAGGUUACUAACAACUCAAAGCCGACAGAAGUCAUACUCAGAUGUGCGACAAAGGGACUUAGAAUUUGAGUGGAUGACUGGGUACUCUUAAAGGUCUCUCCUAUGAAGGGUGUUAUGAGAUUUGGAAAAAAAGGCAAGCUUAGUCCAAGAUUCAUUGGGGCUUACUAGAUCCUUCGAAGGGGAAGGAAAAGUGGCUUAUGUGCUAGAAUUUCCUUCGGGGCUAGAAUCUGUUCAUCCAGUCUUCCAUGUAUCGAUGUUACGAAAGUGCGUAGGAGACCCUUCUCGGGUUGUCCCAGUUGAGGGUGUUCAGAUCACAGAGGAGUUGUCCUACAAGGAAACUCCAAUUGCCAUAUUAGAUCGACAUGUCUGUAAAUUGAGGACCAAAGCGGUGGCUUUGGUUAAAGUAUUGUGGAGAAACAAGAAUAGAGAAGAGGUGACCUGGGAAGCUGAGAAUGGCAUGAGGUCCAAAUAUCCUCACUUGUUUCAUACCCCAGGGUGAUGGCAUAUCAGUUUAUAUUAGUGAAGUGAGGUUAGAUACCUAUCUGAUUUUUUUUAUAAAUAGUUUUUUACAAUUAUUGUUGUUGUCGUUCUAUAUUUGCUCGUACUGUUAUUGCGGAGCUAUAGUGCUUAGCUAUUUAUGUCAUCCUGUGAGACACCUAGGUUACAAUUUCUGUGUUUCAGGUUCCUAGAUAGUCACAUUAAAAAAGGGUACUCUACCUAGAUUUUGGCAAUUCCUAACGACUUAACCUCAUGACUCAGAUUUUUCAUUCGAGGACGAAUGUUUCUAAGGAGGGAAGGAUGUAACACCCCGACUAUUCAAAACAUCUAAAUUAACUCGUAUCUUCGUGGAAAGACCAUGAGGGUGGGUAAUAAAUUAAGAAUGAUGUGUUAUGUGAUAUUUUAAAUGUUCAAGGGUUGUAUCUCAAGUUUAGAAGUUAGGUAAGUGGCAAAAUAAAAGUUGGUGAAAGUUACCGUAAAUUCUUUUUUAAAGAUUUGUCUGAAAUUUGAGUCAAAUGUCUCGGAGGUUUUCUCCCAAUAUAUAAAGAGUUAUAGUACCCACGACCUAUGAAAUCGAAGUUCUACGAAUCUAGUUUCCAACGCAUCAACCCGUUUGUUCAUACAACUUAAGAAUGGAGAGAUAUUUGCUUUUUCGCAAGACUGCGUAAGCAAGCAGGUUAGGUGGGACCCCUAGGUCGGUGGAACUUUAUAUAUAUCAUCUUCUUCGACUUUUAUUCAUUGUUCCUUCACUUUACUUAGUGAAUAACUAGAAAACUCACAGAACCUACUUCUAUAAUCAGCCAAGUUAUAGAUUUUCGUGACUUAAGUCCUUGACAAAAGUUAUUCUACGCGUUGAGCACGUCAACAUGGUAUAAUUUGUUUCAUCGAUAUCCUAGCAUAUCGUACUUUGGUGUGUGGAAAGCAGGGGUUUGGACAUAUUUUAAUGUUUUGAGGUGUAUUACAAACUUAAAAUCAAGGUAAGACCCUUCUUUCAUCGACUCUAGCCUUGAUAAGUCACAAAUAACAAUUUGCGACAGAAAUAUAUAUAUCUUUUAUCGGAUUAUCGUGGUAUCUUCUAUUCUUUGUGUUGAUUAUGGUCCUGCCUUCUUGUAGUAUCGAGGGGGGUUGUGAGUAAAGUCGUUAGGCCACAUGAAUUCAGUGAAAAAGGUAUGUUAAAGUUAUUCCCUACUUACGACAUGUUUCCUUAAAGCUUAGGAGCAAUGUAAUUGGGUUGUUAUCCUUGUUAUACUUGUUGCCAUUAUUAUUGAUUGUUGGCUGCUCGAGUUGGUAUAAUCCUUCCUUGUUGGGAUUCCUAUUCAGUUAGUAGCGUCCCUAUGUUGGACACGACUUAGAGGCUAUUUGUAUAGGUUGCUUACAACUAAAUUGCUCGCUUUUAGCGAUUGAAUUGUUAUUGUUGCCCUUGGGGCUAUUGUGGUUAGCUGCAGGAAUGUGAUUGUCGUGCC
This 8421-nucleotide long non-coding RNA is filed under the name Solanum tuberosum (potato). RNAcentral describes it as "long non-coding RNA (STUB_LNC005677)". The record is from RNAcentral. Lineage: Eukaryota; Viridiplantae; Streptophyta; Magnoliopsida; Solanales; Solanaceae.